This 609-nucleotide long non-coding RNA is filed under the name Salmo salar (Atlantic salmon). RNAcentral describes it as "lncRNA (ENSSSAG00000086018.1)". The record is from RNAcentral. Lineage: Eukaryota; Metazoa; Chordata; Actinopteri; Salmoniformes; Salmonidae.
UGGGAACAGCUAGCGUAGGGCUAAAUGUGCCAGGUUAUGUAAUGGGAACAGCUAGCGUAGGGCUAAAUGUGCCAGGUUAUGUAAUGGGAACAGCUAGCAUAGGGCUAAAUGUGCCAGGUUAUGUAAUGGGAACAGCUAGCGUAGGGCUAAAUGUGCCAGGUUAUGUAAUGGGAACAGCUAGCAUAGGGCUAAAUGUACCAGGUUAUGUAAUUGGAACAGCUAGCAUAGGGCUAAAUGUGCCAGGUUAUGUAAUGGGAACAGCUAGCAUAGGGCUAAAUGUGCCAGGUCAUGUAACGGGAACAGCUAGCAUAGGGCUAAAUGUGCCAGGUUAUGUAACGGGAACAGCUAGCAUAGGGCUAAAUGUGCCAGGUUAUGUAAUGGGAACAGCUAGCAUAGGGCUAAAUGUGCCAGGUUAUGUAAUGGGAACAGCUAGCAUAGGGCUAAAUGUGCCAGAUUAUGUAAUGGGAACAGCUAGCGUAGGGCUAAAUGUGCCAGGUUAUGUAAUGGGAACAGCUAGCGUAGGGCUAAAUGUGCCAGGUUAUGUAAUGGGAACAGCUAGCGUAGGGCUAAAUGUGCCAGGUUAUGUAAUGGGAACAGCUAGCGUAGGGC